AUGGAGGAGGUCCUCAAGGAGGCUGAUGUGAUAAGCCUGCACCCCGUGCUGGACAAGACGGCGUACUACCUAAUAAACCCUGAGCGGCUAGCGAUGAUGGAGGAGGUAGUGUUGGUGAAUGCGAGCCGUGGCCCGGUGAUCGACGAGGUUGCAUUGGUGGAGCACCUGAGGGCGAAUCAUAUGUUCCAUGUUGGCCUUGAUGUUUUUGAGGAUGAGCCUUACAUGAAGCCAGGGCUGGCUGAGAUGAAGAAUGUCGUCGUCGUGCCUCACAUCGCAUCAACAUCCAAGACGCGUGAAGGGAUGGCGACGCUCGCUGCUCUGAACGUGCUUGUUUGGUAUGAUUUCCCUGCAUUAUGGAGCACCAUCAUUAGUACUUGCAACUCUAUACCAGUAUUUGAAGAAGUUUAA
Molecule: ribosomal RNA, 408 nt
Filed under: Triticum aestivum (bread wheat)
Lineage: Eukaryota; Viridiplantae; Streptophyta; Magnoliopsida; Poales; Poaceae
Description: partial small subunit ribosomal RNA
Source: RNAcentral